This 332-nucleotide ribosomal RNA is filed under the name uncultured bacterium. RNAcentral's name for it is "bacterial SSU rRNA". It matches the Rfam family "Bacterial small subunit ribosomal RNA", at positions 568 to 897 of the family's 1533-position model. The record is from RNAcentral.
GGCGUAGGCGGCUUUUCAAGUCGGAUGUAAAAUCUCUCAGCUUAACUGAGAGGGAGUCAUGCGAUACUGUAAGGCUAGAGUGCAACAGAGGGAGGUGGAAUUCCCGGUGUAGUGGUGAAAUGCGUAGAUAUCGGGAGGAACACCAGUGGCGAAGGCGGCCUCCUGGGUUGUUGCUGACGCUGUUGCCCAAAAGCGUGGGGAGCGAACAGGAUCAGAUACCCUGGUAGUCCACGCUGUAAACUAUGGACACUGGGUAUAGGGAGUAUCGACCCUCUCUGUGCCGAAGCUAACGCGUUAAGUGUCCCGUCUGGGAACUACGGCCGCAAGGUUAA